AGUAGGGUAUAGUCCAGGGUUACCCCGAUUUAUUGGCGGACGGGUGAGUAACUCGUGGGUAACCUGCCUGUAAGACGGGGAUAACUUCGGGAAACCGAAGCUAAUACCGGAUAAUAAAGAGAGACUCCUGUUUCUUUUUUGAAAGUCGGUUUCGGCUGACGCUUACAGAUGGGCCCGCGGCGCAUUAGCUAGUUGGUGAGGUAACGGCUCACCAAGGCCACGAUGCGUAGCCGACCUGAGAGGGUGAUCGGCCACACUGGGACUGAGACACGGCCCAGACUCCUACGGGAGGCAGCAGUAGGGAAUCUUCGGCAAUGGACGAAAGUCUGACCGAGCAACGCCGCGUGAGCGAUGAAGGCCUUCGGGUCGUAAAGCUCUGUUGUCAGAGAAGAACAAGUACCGGAGUAACUGCCGGUACCUUGACGGUACCUGACCAGAAAGCCACGGCUAACUACGUGCCAGCAGCCGCGGUAAUACGUAGGUGGCAAGCGUUAUCCGGAAUUAUUGGGCGUAAAGCGCGCGCAGGCGGUUCCUUAAGUCUGAUGUGAAAGCCCACGGCUCAACCGUGGAGGGUCAUUGGAAACUGGGGAACUUGAGUGCAGGAGAGAAAAGUGGAAUUCCACGUGUAGCGGUGAAAUGCCUACAGAUGUGGAGGAACACCAUUGGGUAAGGCGUCUUUUUGGC
RNAcentral lists this ribosomal RNA (684 nucleotides) under Bacillus sp. (in: firmicutes). RNAcentral's name for it is "bacterial SSU rRNA". It matches the Rfam family "Bacterial small subunit ribosomal RNA", at positions 60 to 733 of the family's 1533-position model. The record is from RNAcentral. Lineage: Bacteria; Bacillati; Bacillota; Bacilli; Caryophanales; Bacillaceae.